GACGAACGCUGGCGGCGUGCUUAACACAUGCAAGUCGAACGGAAAGGCCCUGCUUUUGUGGGGUGCUCGAGUGGCGAACGGGUGAGUAACACGUGAGUAACCUGCCCUUGACUUUGGGAUAACUUCAGGAAACUGGGGCUAAUACCGGAUAGGAGCUCCUGCUGCAUGGUGGGGGUUGGAAAGUUUCGGCGGUUGGGGAUGGACUCGCGGCUUAUCAGCUUGUUGGUGGGGUAGUGGCUUACCAAGGCUUUGACGGGUAGCCGGCCUGAGAGGGUGACCGGCGACAAUGGGACUGAGAUACGGACCAGACUCCUACGGGAGGCAGCAGUGGGGAAUAUUGCACAAUGGGCGGAAGCCUGAUGCAGCAACGCCGCGUGCGGGAUGACGGCCUUCGGGUUGUAAACCGCUUUCGCCUGUGACGAAGCGUGAGUGACGGUAAUGGGUAAAGAAGCACCGGCUAACUACGUG
RNAcentral lists this ribosomal RNA (468 nucleotides) under uncultured bacterium. RNAcentral describes it as "partial 16S ribosomal RNA". It matches the Rfam family "Bacterial small subunit ribosomal RNA", at positions 28 to 507 of the family's 1533-position model. The record is from RNAcentral.